Molecule: ribosomal RNA, 500 nt
Filed under: uncultured Glomeromycotina
Lineage: Eukaryota; Fungi; Glomeromycota
Description: partial small subunit ribosomal RNA
Rfam family: Eukaryotic small subunit ribosomal RNA
Source: RNAcentral
CCAAUAGCAUAUAUUAAAGUUGUUGCAGUUAAAAAGCUCGUAGUUGAAUUUCGGGAUCAAUACGUCGGUCGUGCCUCUGGUAUGUACUGGUGUUAUUGAUUCCUCCUUUCUGAUGAACCAUGAUGUCAUUAAUUUGGUGUUGUGGGGAGUCAGGACUGUUACUUUGAAAAAAUUAGAGUGUUUAAAGCAGGCCUACGCUUGAAUACAUUAGCAUGGAAUAAUGAAAUAGGACGUUCGAACCUAUUUUGUUGGUUUCUAGGAUCAACGUAAUGAUUAAUAGGGAUAGUUGGGGGCAUUAGUAUUCAAUUGUCAGAGGUGAAAUUCUUGGAUUUAUUGAGGACUAACUACCGCGAAAGCAUUUGCCAAGGAUGUUUUCAUUAAUCAAGAACGAAAGUUAGGGGAUCGAAGACGAUCAGAUACCGUCGUAGUCUUAACCAUAAACUAUGCCGACUAGGGAUCGGAUGAUGUUAAUUUUUUAAUGACUCAUUCGGCGCCUUACG